CCUCUUCCAGGCCAUAGAAAGGAGCCACUACUCACUCAAGCGACACCUCUGACCCUCCUCGCGCUGGCAAGAUGCCUCUCUGUGAAGGUUAGUCUAGCUCCAGUGGCUCUGUGCAAGGAAAAACCUGUAUGCACCAUCUACCUCGGGUUUUCCAGCAGUCAGGAUUUCAUUCGAUCCUAUUUUUUAAGAUUCACAAAAGAGCCCAAUAGAAGGUGACAUCUAGAACCUCUUUGCACUUAAAUGAAUACAUAAAUUGGAAACAAAAAUGUCAGGCGUGGGGCCUCUGGUUUGGAAAACCCGUGGGCGGACCCGGAAGGCUCCAGCACUUGGGGGCAGGAGCGAGGAGGGGGACAGAGGAAAGGCCCACACUGGCCUGGACUUCUCCUUUCUCAUGGGUAAACUCACGUCCCUCCCACUGGCCGCCCUCCACCCUCUAACUGCCUCUAUCUUUCAGGAUGAAAGCCUCCUGGUUUAACAGCUUUUUCUUGGAGAUGAAGUAACAGCUGUACUGCUUUCCUACAGCUGAGAAAAAACUUUCUCGCCAUUAAUUCCACCCUUCCUCAGUCCUUCAAAACUUCAGGAAGCCUUAUCAACUCUCCUCUCCUUUCAUCUUCAAAAUCUAUCUCUGUCUCCCACUUCUAGCUUAAAGAGGAAGGAAUGAAUGGGUGUAUGCCUUUCCCCCCAAGCAAAUAUCUGCAGUUAAUUCCCUUUUUCAUUUGAAGUGCUGUGCAGAUGCCCAGCGAAUUUCAUCAUCACCCCCUCUUGUGAGCCUGGUCCUCACGACAAAGCCAGCUGGCACAAAGUCCGAGGCAGCAUUUAUGAUGAUGCUUUUCUUCAAGUAGAGCUGCCUCGAUGGUACCAACCAGCAGAGAAGUGUCAUACAUGUGCAACUCCUCCCCUGCAACCAACCCCCAAUUUGAGACGCGUCCUGUUGCUGGUCCUAAAAUUUGCAGAAGGAACCAGGGCCAAAUGAAGGAACCUAUGAGUCACAUUUUUUCUAUCAAAAUACCAACAGAAAUGUAAAUAUUCUCAUAGAGGGGACCCCUACCCCAGCUUUUGCCUUCUUAUUUUCUACUCAUCGGAGCACUGGUUAUGUGACCAAGUGCAAGGUGGAGCAGAGGAGCCUAAGAGAGAGGAUUCCCCUGGGGCAUUCUUUUUAAUGCAGGAAGUUACUUACUCAUAUUGGGAGUGGUGUUCCCUCUGCUUUUUAAAACUAUAAAGACAGCUCUUCCAUCAGCUCUAGACUGAAGUUACCCAGCAUCAAAUGGAACACAAUGGCCCACAAGGCUAGGCUGACACACACACCAAACGAAUGGUUAUCCGGCUACAAGGCAGAGUGGGUGAUGGACCAAAUAGAGGGCUCUUUUGAAGAUUCUGGAUCUGUCUCGCCCCUCCUUCCUUCACCAGAGAAAUCCAAGGUGAUGAUAAGACGAUGUGGUCGUGGUCGACUAUAAAAACUGUACCCC
Leopardus geoffroyi (Geoffroy's cat) is the source of this 1466-nucleotide long non-coding RNA. RefSeq lists it as uncharacterized. The transcript is spliced from 3 exons. Lineage: Eukaryota; Metazoa; Chordata; Mammalia; Carnivora; Felidae. The record is from RefSeq and is a predicted model, not a curated record.